This 699-nucleotide ribosomal RNA is filed under the name uncultured bacterium. Its description in RNAcentral is "bacterial SSU rRNA". It matches the Rfam family "Bacterial small subunit ribosomal RNA", at positions 183 to 883 of the family's 1533-position model. The record is from RNAcentral.
UAGAAGACAUCUGAAAGGGAUUAAAGAUUUAUCGGUGAUGGAUGGGGAUGCGUCUGAUUAGCUUGUUGGCGGGGUAACGGCCACCCAAGGCCACGAUCAGUAGGGGUUCUGAGAGGAAGGUCCCCCACAUUGGAACUGAGACACGGUCCAAACUCCUACGGGAGGCAGCAGUGAGGAAUAUUGGUCAAUGGGCGAGAGCCUGAACCAGCCAAGUAGCGUGCAGGAUGACGGCCCUAUGGGUUGUAAACUGCUUUUAUAAGGGAAUAAAGUGAGCCUCGUGAGGCUUUUUGCAUGUACCUUAUGAAUAAGGACCGGCUAAUUCCGUGCCAGCAGCCGCGGUAAUACGGAAGGUCCGGGCGUUAUCCGGAUUUAUUGGGUUUAAAGGGAGCGUAGGCCGGAGAUUAAGCGUGUUGUGAAAUGUAGAUGCUCAACAUCUGCACUGCAGCGCGAACUGGUUUCCUUGAGUACGCACAAAGUGGGCGGAAUUCGUGGUGUAGCGGUGAAAUGCUUAGAUAUCACGAAGAACUCCGAUUGCGAAGGCAGCUCACUGGAGCGCAACUGACGCUGAAGCUCGAAAGUGCGGGUAUCGAACAGGAUUAGAUACCCUGGUAGUCCGCACGGUAAACGAUGGAUGCCCGCUGUUGGUCUGAAUAGGUCAGCGGCCAAGCGAAAGCAUUAAGCAUCCCACCUGGGGAGUAC